This is a long non-coding RNA of Dermochelys coriacea (leatherback sea turtle), 227 nucleotides long. RefSeq lists it as uncharacterized. Lineage: Eukaryota; Metazoa; Chordata; Testudines; Dermochelyidae. The transcript has 3 exons. The record is from RefSeq and is a predicted model, not a curated record.
UUGAGAUAAUGAAAAUGAACAUGCGUCAGUCCACAUUGCUUUGGAUUGUUAUCGAGCAGAACCCAUUAUCAGCAUAGAUGCCUGUCCCCUGGAAUGGUCAUUGAAGCAUGAAGGGACGUAUGAAUCUUUAGUGCAUCUGGCACAUAACUAUCUUGCGACACCAGCUAGACCAGUGCCAUGAGAACACCUGUUCUCACUUUCACAUGACAUUGUAAACAAGAAGCAGG